AAAGCGUGCGCAGGCGGUUAUAUAAGACAGAUGUGAAAUCCCCGGGCUCAACCUGGGAACUGCAUUUGUGACUGUAUAGCUAGAGUACGGCAGAGGGGGAUGGAAUUCCGCGUGUAGCAGUGAAAUGCGUAGAUAUGCGGAGGAACACCGAUGGCGAAGGCAAUCCCCUGGGCCUGUACUGACGCUCAUGCACGAAAGCGUGGGGAGCAAACAGGAUUAGAUACCCGGGU
Molecule: ribosomal RNA, 230 nt
Filed under: uncultured bacterium
Lineage: Bacteria
Description: partial 16S ribosomal RNA
Rfam family: Bacterial small subunit ribosomal RNA
Source: RNAcentral